CCCGCUUGGAUUUACAUCGGCUUUUAUAGGCUUGGCAACGUCCCUGUACACCCGCCAUAGAAGCCCCCGGAACCAACGGUGAUGUCAAGAAUGCUGACGGAAUAGAAAAGCAUAACAGACCGUGCUGCUUUCGCUGCUACCAGCAUCCUUGCAGGACGGUGUUGUUUGAAAACGUACACAGCCAAAACGUGUGAUCCCUCGCACAUAAUCACCUAAAAAGUUCUCUUACGUCUAGCUUAAUCUCAACUAUGAUUGUUUCACUUCAACACAGGAAAUACUUUAUUGACCCUCGGGGACUGAACGGACAAGGCGAGCGAACAUGACGUGCCUUUGCAUGCGUUGCGUCCAGCGUCCACUAUAAACGUGCAAUAUGAGAGAGAAAGGAGCUUGAAGAUUAGGCUUAUUGCAACUAAAAAACGAGAGGUCCAUGAACGUUAAAAGGAUGCUUCAACGAGAAACGCAUAGAAUUUCCGUGUGGUAAACAGGGUCACGUCAACCCAAUGGCGGAUCCACCACUGAUCUAGAACUCGGAUUAGUUAAGCUCUUAACGAUAACUGGUGUCCUGGCCGAGCCCAGAGCAUAACUUCAUGCAGGUGUUUUUCGAAAAUCUAGAGCAAUACUUAGAAUUGGUCUAAGAAGAGACGCAAUUUAACCGGUGUGUGGCGAGCUGGCACGAUGGUGUCCUUGACGAAGAGCGUGUCGAGGUGAAAGUAACGUGUGGUCUUCCGGAUGACUAGAGGAA
Varroa destructor (honeybee mite) is the source of this 742-nucleotide long non-coding RNA. NCBI's taxonomy places the organism in Eukaryota, Metazoa, Arthropoda, Arachnida, Mesostigmata, Varroidae. The record is from RefSeq and is a predicted model, not a curated record.